AAGAGUGCAUCUCCUCCUCCUCCACCUCCUCUUCCACUUCCUCCUCCAUCACUGCUACACACCAACACAUCCCAGGAGAGAAGGAGAGAAGAAAAGGAGAGAGUCGGAGAGGGAGAGAAAGAAAGAAGGAAAGAAAAAAAAAAAGAGGACAACAUUGAUUUGACGUGGAAACUGAAGAAGAGAGAGAGAGAGAGAGAGAGAGAGAGAGAGAGAGAGAGAGAGAGAGAGAGAGAGAGAGAGAGAGUGGAGAGAAUAAUUUGAAGUGACAAGUGUCCCUCUUUCUCCUCCUCCUCCUCCUCCUCCUCCUCCUUCAUCUUCAACGGGAUGGCGCGAAGGUGUCUGAUGGUGAUGAUGAUCCUAACCGCAAUCAUAUGGUUAGUGGGGGGAGAUGCAACCCCCACCCACCACUACUCCAAGCACCCCUACCACUACCCCCAAUACUAUAACCACCACGGCCACCACUACAACCACCAGUACCCCUAUUACAACUACAACGACUACUACUACAACCACAACUACUACAACAACUACCAGUACCCCUACUACCGCGGCUACCAAUACACCCACGUCUGCAAGUACCUGGUAGCAAGACCACUUCUAAUGACGAGGCUGCACGGGCUCCUCUCCUACUACAUGAAGCACUGCUAUGGCUCAGUCUACCCCUACCCCGCCCUGGGAUGGUAAGGAAAACGGAGGCAGGGAAGGAGAGAGAAUGGGCCUCGGUGUGCUGGACGCGGAGAGGAAGGAAGAUAGAGAAGGUAAAAGGUGUGUAUUUAUGAUUCUAGAGAGAAAGGAAAUUGUUUAAAGGUGUAUAAGAUUUUAGACAGAAAGGGAGUGGUCUUUUUCCAACGUACCAAUGAAGAGAAAGUUAAAGGUAUUCACUAAUGUUGAGAGAAAGGAGAGAGAGGAUGUCUAACGCACUAUAGAAGGAAAAGUAAAAGAUUUAUAUUUACGAUUUAAGUGAGAAAGGAGAUUGUGUUUUUUAGCUUACCAAUGAAGGGAAAGUUAAAGGUAUUCACUAAUGUUGAGAGAAAGGAGAGAGAGGAUGUCUAACGCACUAUAGAAGGGAAAGUAAAUGGUUUAUAUUUACGAUUUAAAGGAGAAAGGAGAUUGUGUUUUUUAGCUUACCAAUGAAGGGAAAGUAAAAGGUUAUCAAUAUUGUAGAGAGAAAGGAGGGAAAGAAUGUUUGACGCACUAUAGAAGGGAGAGUAAAAAGGUAUAUAUUCACGAUUUAUGGGAGAAAUGAAAUUUUCUUAAACUUACCAAUGAAGAGGAAGUAAAAGUUAUCAAUAUUGUAGAGGGCAAGGAGGGAAAGAAUAUUAAGUUUACUAUAGAAGGGAAAGUAUAAGGUGUAGUAUACUGACUUUCUUUUUAGACAGAAAAGAGAAAAAAUAUGAUUAGUUUACCAAAGAAGAGAAAGGAAAAGGUAAUCACUAGUGUAGAGAGAAAGGAGGGAAAGAAUAUUAAGUUUACUAUAGAAGGGAAAGUAUAAGGUGUAGUAUAUUGACUUUCUUU
Molecule: long non-coding RNA, 1515 nt
Organism: Eriocheir sinensis (Chinese mitten crab)
Lineage: Eukaryota; Metazoa; Arthropoda; Malacostraca; Decapoda; Varunidae
Exons: 3
Source: RefSeq, a predicted model, not a curated record